Molecule: non-coding RNA, 21 nt
Filed under: Arabidopsis thaliana (thale cress)
Lineage: Eukaryota; Viridiplantae; Streptophyta; Magnoliopsida; Brassicales; Brassicaceae
Source: RNAcentral
GGUCAACAUGUAUGGAUGCUC